This 497-nucleotide ribosomal RNA is filed under the name uncultured bacterium. RNAcentral's name for it is "partial 16S ribosomal RNA". It matches the Rfam family "Bacterial small subunit ribosomal RNA", at positions 28 to 507 of the family's 1533-position model. The record is from RNAcentral.
GAUGAACGCUGGCGGCGUGCCUAAUACAUGCAAGUCGAGCGAACGGACGAGAAGCUUGCUUCUCUGAUGUUAGCGGCGGACGGGUGAGUAACACGUGGAUAACCUACCUAUAAGACUGGGAUAACUUCGGGAAACCGGAGCUAAUACCGGAUAAUAUUUUGAACCGCAUGGUUCAAAGGUGAAAGACGGUCUUGCUGUCACUUAUAGAUGGAUCCGCGCUGCAUUAGCUAGUUGGUAAGGUAACGGCUUACCAAGGCAACGAUGCAUAGCCGACCUGAGAGGGUGAUCGGCCACACUGGAACUGAGACACGGUCCAGACUCCUACGGGAGGCAGCAGUAGGGAAUCUUCCGCAAUGGGCGAAAGCCUGGCGGAGCAACGCCGCGUGAGUGAUGAAGGUCUUCGGAUCGUAAAACUCUGUUAUUAGUGAAGAACAUAUGUGUAAGUAACUGUGCACAUCUUGACGGUACCUAAUCAGAAAGCCACGGCUAACUACGUG